RNAcentral lists this ribosomal RNA (587 nucleotides) under uncultured bacterium. RNAcentral describes it as "bacterial SSU rRNA". It matches the Rfam family "Bacterial small subunit ribosomal RNA", at positions 338 to 950 of the family's 1533-position model. The record is from RNAcentral.
CCUACGGGAGGCAGCAGUGGGGAAUCUUGCGCAAUGGGCGAAAGCCUGACGCAGCCAUGCCGCGUGAAUGAUGAAGGUCUUAGGAUUGUAAAAUUCUUUCACCGGGGACGAUAAUGACGGUACCCGGAGAAGAAGCCCCGGCUAACUUCGUGCCAGCAGCCGCGGUAAUACGAAGGGGGCUAGCGUUGCUCGGAAUUACUGGGCGUAAAGGGAGCGUAGGCGGAUAGUUUAGUCAGAGGUGAAAGCCCAGGGCUCAACCUUGGAAUUGCCUUUGAUACUGGCUAUCUUGAGUACGGAAGAGGUAUGUGGAACUCCGAGUGUAGAGGUGAAAUUCGUAGAUAUUCGGAAGAACACCAGUGGCGAAGGCGACAUACUGGUCCGUUACUGACGCUGAGGCUCGAAAGCGUGGGGAGCAAACAGGAUUAGAUACCCUGGUAGUCCACGCUGUAAACGAUGAGUGCUAGUUGUCGGCAGGCAUGCCUGUCGGUGACGCAGCUAACGCAUUAAGCACUCCGCCUGGGGAGUACGUCGCAGAUAACUACAAGAAGUAGAGCGUGAGACGUGCGACGACGACGACGAGGGAGAGG